GCAGCAGGCGCGAAACCUUUACACUGCACGUCAGUGCGAUAAGGGGAUCCCAAGUGCGCAGGCAUAGAGCCUGCGCUUUUCUGAACCGUAGGGAGGUUCAGGAACAAGUGCUGGGCAAGACCGGUGCCAGCCGCCGCGGUAAUACCGGCAGCACGAGUGAUGGCCGAUAUUAUUGGGCCUAAAGCGUCCGUAGCUGGCCUGUCAAGUCCGUCGGGAAAUCUACCAGCCCAACUGGUAGGCGUCCGGCAGAAACUGGCAGGCUUGGGACCGGAAGGCUCGAGGGGUACGUCCGGGGUAGGAGUGAAAUCCCGUAAUCCUGGACGGACCGCCGAUGGCGAAAGCACCUCGAGAAGACGGAUCCGACAGUGAGGGACGAAAGCUAGGGUCUCGAACCGGAUUAGAUACCCGGGUAGUCCUAGCCGUAAACGAUGCCUGUUAGGUGUGGCUCCCACUACGAGUGGGUGCUGUGCCGUAGGGAAGCCGCUAAACAGGCCGCCUGGGAAGUACGUCCGCAAGGAUGGAACUUAAAGGAAUUGGCGGGGGAGCACUACAACCGGAGGAGCCUGCGGUUUAAUUGGAUUCAACGCCGG
Molecule: ribosomal RNA, 590 nt
Filed under: uncultured haloarchaeon
Lineage: Archaea; Methanobacteriati; Methanobacteriota; Halobacteria; Halobacteriales; Halobacteriaceae
Description: bacterial SSU rRNA
Rfam family: Archaeal small subunit ribosomal RNA
Source: RNAcentral